Molecule: long non-coding RNA, 1381 nt
Organism: Zalophus californianus (California sea lion)
Lineage: Eukaryota; Metazoa; Chordata; Mammalia; Carnivora; Otariidae
Exons: 3
Source: RefSeq, a predicted model, not a curated record
CCCGCAGUUAGAGGUGUGAGCUCUACAUGAUGCGGCUUUGGAUGUCCAGCCAGCAGACUUUUUUGAGUCCAGCUGUGAGCCAGACACUGCCAUGAAUUACAGAGUCCAAUACAAUGAGAUCCUCUGGGCAGCAGUCCUACAGGAGCUUAAGAUCAAAGAGACUAAGUCAUCAGCUCCUGGAAAACAUCAAGGAAGACACAGGAAGAGGACCACUAGGCAUUCUGUCAAGACCCAGAGAAGCUGCGGUUGGAGCAUGUACAUGCAUGGUCUCUGUGGAUACAUGCAAAGCCGCCCAGGCACCAGGCAGAUCUGUUCUCCGGCAAGCAGGCAUUCGUGGUGCACCAUAUCCCUCAUGAAAACGCCCGGUUUUACAUUGCACUGAUGAUUUGACUAUCGUUAUGUUUGAUAAGUUAUGAAGAUAAUAGAACCACCUCGUGGAAGAUGGAGAAAAGAAAAGAAAAAUCACUCCUAUCUAAUGAGGUCAGCAUCAUGACUGUGGGUAUUUUAAUAUAGCUUUUUCCAGUAUUCCCCUCAUAUAUAUAUUUCUUGAGGACCUAACAUGUGUGCUGUUACUGAUCUCCAUUUCAAAAGAGAAAACAGUAACACGGAGAGGCUUUGUAGCUUGCCCAGGAUCACACCUAGUCAGAGCUGGAAUUGAACCUAUGUAGUCAGCUGCCAGGACGUGUCGUGCUAUCAUGGCAAACGAACAAUUUUACAUUCUCAGAAGGCCGUCUUAGUCCAUUCAGUUUCCUCUAACCAAAUACAACAGACUGGAUGGCUGCUAAAAACAGCAGAAAUUUAUUGCCCACCAUUCUGGAAGCUGGAAGUCCAAAAUCAGGGUGCCGGCAUGGUUGGGUUCUGGUGAGAACUCUCUUCUGGGUUGUGGACUGCCAACUUCUCAUUGUAUCCUCAUGUGGUGGAAAGGGAGAGCUAGCUCUCUGGGGUUUCUUCAAUGAGAGCACUCAUCCCAUUCACGAGGGCUCUACCCUCAUGACCUAAGCACCUCCUCAAGUCUCCACCUCCUGAUACCAUCACAUUGCAGGUAGGAUUUCAACCUAUGAAUUUGGAGCAGGGACACUGUUGGAGGAGGUCAUGGAGAGGACGUGACUGCAGGUAGACCUGUGAGCUGGACCUGAGCAAUCAGAGGCUUCUUACUCCCUUCCCUGUAAUGUAUGUUCUGCCCAACAGUCCCACACUAGGAGCUAUUUCAAGGACACAGCCUUGAGAUAGAGUGAUGUGUUAUUGAGACCAUCUGAACUGUGCAAGACUGAAUCCCAUUAAGACUUCUGUAUAAACUUUUAAGCUUCUGUCAGGUAGGUGCAGAGAGCUACUCAUCUUGCAGCCACCCACGAUAAGUCUCAUUCGCAAGUUCCCUUGCAUA